Long non-coding RNA from Apus apus (common swift), 6273 nucleotides. RefSeq lists it as uncharacterized. The record is from RefSeq and is a predicted model, not a curated record. The transcript has 2 exons. Lineage: Eukaryota; Metazoa; Chordata; Aves; Apodiformes; Apodidae.
GCCGGGCUGGGCUGGGCCCGCCGGGACCCGCGGCCCCGGGAGAGGAGCCGCGGGGGAGCGGGGUAGAGAUGAUUCUGGCGUUUCUUCGACUUAACCAGGCUCGUCUGCGCGAACCCAGCUGGGAUCUGCCGUUGAAGUGCCAUGUCCCUCCUGCAAAACAGAGAGCUGCGUGGCAGGAGGGGACCGCCGGGGAAACUUGGAAGCCAGCUGCAGAGACAGUGGGUCACAGGGAAAAAGCCAAGGUCUGGGGAGGAAGAGAAGCCUCAGCCCCUGUCUCAGUGCUAUCGAAUUAUUUCAAACUGGAAGUGAAGCUAUUACAAAAGUGAUCUUAAGUUUAGCCCUGUUAUCACCAGCUGAUCCCAUCCAGUUGUAUCAGCUGCCAUGUGAUUAAUGAGAAAUUUCACUUCUACUGUAUUUUCUGUUAAUGUAAGAAAUGAAACGCCCUAUGGGAAAGUGACCUUUAAUAAGACUGAACAGUCACUUGUAAUUUUCUUAACUACAUGUCAGCUGCAGAGUCAAAUUCUGUACUCACACAACCUGGUGCCACCAUCUCGUCAGUCACUGAGGUACUUGAUCUGCAAGAUCUUUAUUUUGGAUUAUGGCGAUGCAACACAGCUCUGUGCGGAAACAUCCAUACUACUUCCAAUAGCAGUUAUUUUAGCCAUGUGAGCAGACCUUAAGGCUAAUUGAACCUGACAAGGAAAUGAGUGUUAUCAUGGGCAGAAUACCCUGCUAAAAUAGAUCCAGGCUGUUUUGGCACUCAAGUGCAACAGGCUGCAUUACACAGGUUGGUGUAGAUAUAUGCCAGAUAAACACUUCUGCCCCCAUGGAGAGUUUAUGAGAGGAGACUGUCAGGAAAAUGAAGAUAUAAAGGAGUUUACUUGUAAUUACAGAAGAGUGGACUGAUCUAUCUGUUGAUACUAUUUUUUUGAGAGAACAGCAGCAUUUUACUGGACAGCCAGACAGAGAACUCAAAGCUAUACACACUGUUACGCAAUGGAGGGCUUGCAGAUUUUCUGUAAACUCUGAAAACUGGGCACGGAAAUGAGCAUCACUUCCCAGCGUCACACACGCAUCCCAUAACGAGCAGCUGGAAAAAUCAAAAGCCAGCACCGCGAGCUCCUGGCUACAAGAAGCCGCCCCGAGUUUAAUGACUGACGGAUCACCCGGCUAGCUGUCACUCCGAGCACCCGCGGAGGUGAAGCGGCGGCAGCCCCGCUUUCACCUGGCCUCCCCGCCGGAUCCCGGUCCCGGCGGGCGGGAGGGCUCUCUCCCGGGAAAAGGGGGACCGAGCCGGGCUGUCUCCCGCAGCCUUCCACCGCUGCUGCCUGCCGUGCCGCUAGCAGUCCCCAUUGAUUUAACGUGCUUAAACAUUUUAGGCAGGACUACGGUGUGACCACCUGCUUUGUCAUCGAUGGAAAGCCCAGCUAAGGAAGAACUAUAACGAUAUUACCGACUUCCGCACUCUCAUUUCAUUCUUGCUGACUGAUGCCAUUAAAACCCUGCUUUUCCAGGGCCCCGGAAGCAGCCUUGGAAGCUUUACCCGGGUUAUUCGUCUGCCAACAGAACACGCAGAAAGAGCACGCCCAGUGCUGACACCCCUCCACACACACCUCUUCUUUCAGCACUGAUAAGCGCUCGCUUCUCCUUUCCAGAGGCGUUUAUCGCUGCAGACCACAGAGGGAUCUUCCACCCUUCAGCAUCGGUAUGCGGCCACAAAGAAAUCUAACACAAUGAGAUUCCGCCGUUUUAACAGACAAUAACGUGCUAAGGACGACUGCAGCGCUUCAUCCUCACCCAGUGUAGCCACGGCUGCUGCAAACAUGUCCAGAUUGCUACAGGAAAUAAGAUUGAUUAGGAUGGAAAGCAGCUGGUCGAGAUCAGAGCCAAAGGAGACUCAAAUUAUAUUGGACAGAAAAGAGGAAUACUCAAAUCAGAAGUUGUCCAAGAUGUUUGUUGCCUUGCACAGGAAGGUCAGCCCUCAUCCAGCAAAGAGAGGCAGACUUGCACAGCCCACACUCAUUUUGGCUGUCCCAGUUGCAUACAUUUUCCAAAAUACUCUCUUUCACCUUCACCUUGUUGGGAAACUAUCUCAUCUUGCCCAGUGGAGUUUGACCAGAGGAAGGCAGGUAUUUUUCACAUCAGGCUGGAUUAGUUGCAACUCACUGUAUCAAGCUGAAAAUACUGUUUCCAAAUUCUUACUGGAAAUAAUAAUAAAAAAAGCGUUGCUUUGAAGCAAAGGCUUCAAGCUCGAGUCCUCCAAAUAGGUCCUAUUCAGCUUCAAUUGCCAGCAUAAGCUGGCACUGGCCCUGCUGGCCAAGGAACUGACAGACCAACCCCAACAGUAACACAACAGACUACAUGAAGAUCUGCAGACAACUGCAGCAGCUGCUUCCCUUUGCAACAGCCCCAGAACAAAACACAGUGGACCAGACGAAGUGUGCCUGUCUUGACGUUAUCUGUCAAGGAGACAAAGGAGAAUAAAUGAGUCCAGAGUAUGAUUGUUUUUAAGCAACAUUGCAGGUAACUCUCAGAACGGUUGAAAGAUAUUUUCCACUAUAAGAGACAUUCACAUUUUAUCACCAAACUCCAAAUGUCUUUGAUUAAAGAAAAAAUAAUUCUUCCCUGCCCUCCCCAAAAUUACAAACUAAAAAUCCAAACUAGACUUUGUGUAGUUCCAACCCAUCAAAUAGAGAAAGGUCCCCUCUCUGUUACCCAGGGGAAGCUGGGGUUGUUAUUAAUUUGAUGCAAAAAACUACUCAGACAUUUCAGUGAGGGAAGGAGUAUAAAAGACUAGCUUUGUUUAUCGACAACACUCACUUUACUCCUGCUUCCACAUAUCUUCUUCCAGAGCCAAUUCUUCCUUCCUGUUCAGAUCCACCUCUGUUCUCUCACUCAUUAAAACCUCCAAUCACCCUUUGUACUCAAGCUCUGCAUCCUCACUCGUGCUCCCUAUCCCAGCUCCCAGCCUAUCAGCCAUUUUAUUAUUUCAUAUUUCCCACAAAUCCUCAAUUCAAUGUAUCUGCUCAAGCAGUUUCAUUUUUUCACCACCUUUCUCCUUGUACCUAUCCCUGCCUUUCAUCCUCUUGAUUUUCUUCCUUUUCCCACCUUCCCUGAGUUUUUCAGCCAGUCCCAGGCCUGUACCUACUGUGUUUCUUUCCUUCUGCACCUCCCAGCCUGGACUGCCUUUGCUAGCCAAUUCCAACCUCCAUCCUUAACAGUCCAGUCCAGUGUUGCUUCAUUCUCACUCCAGUCCUGGCUAGCCUGGCACCCAGUUUCUGGCUGCAGCUGCUUUAUCAUAGAAUCAUAGAAUCCUAGGGGUUGAAAGGGACCUCAAAAGAUCAUCUAGUCCAACCCCCCUGCCAGAGCAGGGUCAUCUAGAGCACAUCACACAGGAACGCAUCCAGGUGAGCUUUACAAUUACAACUUCUGCUGGAAAUUAGAGUAAAAUGUCAGUACAGAAUGCUAGCAAGUUUUUAAACUGUGUUCCUCUUAAGAUGUACUUCAGUAGAAUGAAAACAUUUGUAAACUUAACUUUGUAUCAAUGGUACAUUUUGGUGAGGAUUUAAAUGUACUCCUAAAUAAUAAUCCUUAUAAAAUGUUAAACUAUUGUCAGGGUUUUUACUAGAACAUUACUAAGGGUAGGAAUCAUUAACAGUUAGGAAGGAAGGUGCAAGUAAUUUAAAACCUAGAAGUUAUUUACAAUUAUUUUGUCUCUGUGUAAAUAAUUUUAUUUGUUCUUAAGUUUUCUAUGUCACAAAUUUGUAUACCACAGAAGUUAUAGUACUCUAAUAGCAGCCACUGUAAUACAUAAUUCUUUGACAUGCUGGAUUGCCUAUUAUACCACACAGUGUGCUAAUUUAUAAUUUGUAUUAUUUUCACUCUCUGUUAAAACACAGGCCAAGAAUACAUCUAAAACUAACAGCUGUGUAGUACCUGUAUUUUUAGUGACUGACGUGUCCUGGAAAGAGAGAUAAGAAGUUGUGUAAAAGUAGCAGAAACUGCCUCCUUUCACCUAUUUUAAUUGCGUCUUUAAAUAAUGUAUUUUGCCUUUUGCUGUUCUCUAAAAUACUUCACAUAUAUCUGACAUUAUGGCCCUGCUGUUUAAAGAAAGCUUUUAAACACACUUAUACUUUAAAGCACCUACUCAAGCUCCAUUUACUUCAAUGGAGGAUACAUGCUCUUAAAUUUACACACCUAAAGUGUGUCUCCCUGAAGACUCAUCCCUGAGGAAAGCCCCCGUUUCAUAAUAAGGAAAGCGUACAUGUGCCACAUGAAAAAAUUAUUGGAAUUCCUGGGCUUUUCAGGAAAGCUUAAAAGAAACUCCUACUUUAAAAUGCAAAAUUAUCAGCCCUGCCAAAGGUACUUCUUUUCUCACUUUGAGAAUCAUAUAUGCAGAGGAUCCAGAACAAUCUAUUUUGGAGACAAACUGCAUUUUUUUUUUUAUUUUAUUUUUUAGUUUACACUGUUUCAAUGAAAAGUUUCUGCAAAAAAGAAUUUCAAGGAAAAAAUUCUAAGAGAGUGAAAAUAAGCCUGCAAUAGCUUAGAAAUAAGAUUCAAGACUCCUGGGUUUUGCUUCUCUUUUUGGAUUGCCACUAAGUUUUAGUACGUUUGAUGAGUUUGGGUCAGCCUCCACUCCUGUCGUUCCUCUCCUGCAAAGACUUACCAACCAUUUAGUUUCACUGAGUACAUGCCUGCUUUUAUAUAUGGAAACCUGGCUGUAAUUCCCUCUGUAUCAUCCAGGAUUCUCUUAUUAUAAUGUCAUUUGUACUGCCUAUGCAUGCACUGCUGGAACUCAUGACCCAACUUUCACAUGGGGUCCUACAGAACAUGAAAGAGUAAAUAACAUUAUAUAAAAUAGUGCUAACUCUUUCUUUUGUAUAGUCUAGUGAGUUUCUUCUGGUGGAAAAAGAGUGCUACACAAAAAUCCUCUAACAGCACCCUACAGUGACAUCCUAAAGUUCCACUCCUAUUUCUAUCUUGUUUGCUUCAUUGUUUAUUAGGAAUAACAUUUAAAAUAUGGUUAAUAUUUUAAUAUAAUUUUUAUUUAAAAAAUGUAAAGUCCAUUGCCUUUUAAAGACUGGAAGUUUAAAAUAAUUUUAGUUGCCUGAUACAUAGCUAAGAACAGUUCCAGAGACAUAAGAUGCAUUGUAGCUGUAACCAUAGUCUAAAUUUUUUCUUACCAGCUUUCAAGUGCUCAUAUACAGCAGUUCACUUUCUUAAGGUGGAAACAGGACUUGAAAUAUUACACCAAAAAAGCAGUGCUCCUAUAUCACUGACACUGUAAAAAUCCUAAACAGAAACUGAGGUAGCUUUUUAAACAACAGUACUCUAUUUUACAUUAUGUUGUAAUUUGUAUGACUCACGUGCUUAAUACUGGAUAAUUACAUUCUCAUUUGUUUCAAUGUAUGAGAUGAUAAAGGACAAUGACAAAAUAGCACUAUAUGUUGGCAUAGUCACAGAUCUCCCAUUGUCAAGAGAACUUCAGCUUCUCAUCGACGUCUCUAAGCUUAUGUCUUUUCUUCUAUUUCUCAGGACAGCAUUACAUUGUUUUUCUUAAGCAGAUGCUAGCAGUUUGGAGUGCACUAAAGGGUUAACUGAAACAGAAACUGAGUCCUAGCACCCGACAGAGAAUAGGGUUGCCCUGGUUUGAGCCAGGAUGAAGCCAAUUUUCCUUUUACUGAUUUUUUUUUUUCCUUCAGUAAGCUCUCUUUUAACUAGCACCAAGUUCUCCAGAUAGUGGACUGAUAAUGCUGGAAUGUUUAUAUUGCUGCCAGGACUUUAAGGUCACUGCUCCAUUUGAGUCUGUGGCUUCACAUGCUAAAGGAGCAGAAGAAUCACAUCUGUAACCCCCCGUAGGGAGGAGUGGACAAGAAGGACAGCAACAUUGACUGAAGUAUUCCAUUCCAUAUAUCUAUGUAAGUUCAGUGUAAGGUCAGGGAUCAUGGAAGUCAAGCCUCUUCAUGCUGCUUCUUCCCUUCUCUUCCAUCCGUGGCCAGCACCCAGGGAGGAUUCCAUCUAUCCAUGACCAUUGAUCCCCAGGCCCGUGCAUUCCUGACCCUCACAACUCUCCCCUCAGCUCCUGUCUGUUCUGCCGCUCUCUCCAGCAGCUCUGGGACAUUUUGGGACUGCUCACAGCUCAGGAGAUGCCACAGGAGUUGCUGGGGGUGGGGGGAGGCAAUAGGGUUUUGCACAUUCCUGCACAUACUUGUAUAUAAUUGUACAUAUUUUCUUUUGUCAUUAGUAUUUAAUUAAAGCUGUGUAGUUUUUCAA